UUACCUACGGGGGGCAGCAGUGGGGGAUAUUGCACAAUGGGGGAAACCCUGAUGCAGCGACGCCGCGUGGGCGAAGAAGUAUUUCGGUAUGUAAAGCCCUAUCAGCAGGGAAGAAGAAAUGACGGUACCUGAGUAAGAAGCACCGGCUAAAUACGUGCCAGCAGCCGCGGUAAUACGUAGGGAGCGAGCGUUAUCCGGAAUUAUUGGGUGUAAAGGGUGCGUAGACGGGAAAACAAGUUAGUUGUGAAAUCCCUCGGCUUAACUGAGGAACUGCAACUAAAACUAUUUUUCUUGAGUGCAGGAGA
This 305-nucleotide ribosomal RNA is filed under the name uncultured bacterium. RNAcentral's name for it is "bacterial SSU rRNA". It matches the Rfam family "Bacterial small subunit ribosomal RNA", at positions 335 to 655 of the family's 1533-position model. The record is from RNAcentral.